RNAcentral lists this ribosomal RNA (70 nucleotides) under Legionella pneumophila. Its description in RNAcentral is "partial 23S ribosomal RNA". Lineage: Bacteria; Pseudomonadati; Pseudomonadota; Gammaproteobacteria; Legionellales; Legionellaceae. The record is from RNAcentral.
AUUAUAUGGUCAAGAAGAGAAGCGCAAACGGUGGAUGCCUUGGCAGUAAGAGGCGAAGAAGGACGUGGAA